CACCUGGCCAGGGUGGCGAAGCCCAGUCGCUCUCACUCCGCCAUGUGCGCUCAAUCCACGCUCACUCCUCCCUCCUCUCACUCUCGUACUCAUUCAUAAUUCACCCACCACCAAGAUAUCGAUUCCGAAUUCUUAUUAUCUAGUCGGAACUAGUAAGUUGUCGACGAUGCGGUGACGAAUGAAGAGGGACAUGUUAGUGUGACGGUGGUGACGUGAAUGAUGUUUGAAAAAUUGGUACCUGUUGUGGAGUACAGAUGGGUAGAGUGAUGGCGCCUAGAGUACAACAGUAGCUAGAGUGACAGUACUUACAUCUUGCCAGAGGGAGAGCUUGACAACUCCUACAGCCAACUUCCGAGAGUCAUAUGCCUGAAGGUGUGGUGGAGUCCAGGAUGCAGGUGGCGGACAGUGUGAGGUACAGGGAGGCUGUGACCAGGCUCAAGAGGCUACUGUACGAACCCCCAGGCUCGGAGUCGCCCUCUACACCACCCCACAAAGACUCUCACUACCACACAACCACCAAUUCCGUCCACCACACCGCCACUACCAACUCCCUCCACCACCACACAUACCACGCCUCAGUCAGUUCAGAUGUGGGUGGAGUCCGUGGUGUGGGCGUGGGCGGGGUGGAGGGGCCGUCACGCUGGCUGUUGGAACUACUGAGGCACCAGGAAGAACUUAUAGCCCAGCUGGAGAAGGAGAAUGAUUUCCUGAAGAGGGAGGUGUUGUCGGUGGGUGAGGGGGUGAAGGCGAUGGGUCAGGAAAAUCAAGAACUCAAUCGUCGCCUGGCUGAUGCCCUCUCUCAAGCCAUCGCUAUGGGGGAGCAUCUGGACACCACCAUCACCUCCAGCAGUAGUAGCGAGAGAGAGAGCGGGGACAAAGACACUGUUAACUCCAGGAUAGCUACUCUUACUCGGGAGAAGGCGGCGCUAGCAGACCAGGUGAGCCGCCUCGAUGCCUCCCUGACAGCCAUGACCAAGAGAGAGCAGGAGGCGUUGACAAAACUUAGACAAGCUCUCACACUCGCCGAGGACACACACUCACACACAGCCCAGGUUCGUGCCAGUAGCGAAUCGGCCAUAGAAGAGCUGACUGUCCUGCUGACGGCGACGAAGCAGGAGGGACAAGAGCUCCGGAGACUACUGGACGAAGCGGACAUGAAGCAGAAGCGGCAGCAGGAGCAGAAGGACGAGCAGGUAACCCAUCAACAGCAGAGGAUCAAGACCUUACAGGAUGCACGCGAUGCACAGGAGGAACUAUUGGCGAGGCUACGGCAGGAGGUGAGGGACGGGGAGAGGCGGGUGGCUGAUCUAGAGGACGACCUGAAGGCGGCUAGGGCGGCCAGGACCCGUCUGGAGGCUCAGCUGGAGGAACAGAGACAGCACUCCAGGGACGCCCACGCCAGGCUCGACCAGAUCAUCAUCACGAGGAGCGGGGAGGCGGCAGCCGGGACAGCCAGAGCGAGGGAACUGGAGGAGAGAUUGACAGUUGCCAGGGAGGACACGUCAAGGCUCCUGCAAGCUGUCACCACCCUUGCCCAGGGCGGCCGGAAUGUAGAAGCAGACACCACUGACGAUGUUAAGAGCGAGCGUCUGGCAGCGGGACAGCAGCUGGGGGCGGCCCUGACAGCCCUCCAGUCCCGUCAUGAGGAGGAGGUGACGUCACUGCAGGAGGCGGCGAGACAACAGAGCCAAGCCAUGGAGGCCCUGAGGGAGGAGGUCACCAUGAUGAGGCAGCAGUUGGCUCUUGACAGCGAGAACUACAGGACACGGCUGGAGGAGGUGGGUCGAGGUCUGGCUGCCCUUGCCUCUACUACUACUGCUGCUACCUCGCCAUCGCUACCCACCCAACAUGAUGACAACACAAGGGCUCCUGAGGGCGUAUCAGAGGGUGAUAGUCGACUGCCCUCCACACCUGCAGUUCCAAACACCACUACCACGUUGCCUUCUACCGAUCCUACUGCUGCUGCUGCCACUACACCAGGCGUCCCCGACACCAGCAUACCAAACACACAGGAGAUAUCAGACUCACGAGAACUGACGGGAGACAACAGUGACAACACGAAGGUCGAGGAUGACGUUGUGCCCGAGGAUGACGUUGUGCCCAAGGAUGACGUUGUGCCUGAGGAUGACGUUGUGCCCAAGGAUGACGUUGUGCCUGAGGAUGACGUUGUGCCUGAGGAUGACGUUGUGCCCGAGGAUGACGUUGUGCCCAAGGAUGACGUUGUGCCCAAGGAUGACGUUGUGCCCGAGGAUGACGUUGUGCCCAAGGAUGACGUUGUGCCCGAGGAUGACGUUGUACCCGAGGAUGACAUAAAAGAAAAAACGGAAGAGACAGAAGAAAAAGAUAUCGAUAUAACAGAGAAGAAUGAAGAGGUGGAAGAGAAGAAUGAAGAGGUGGAAGACAAGACUGAAGACAAAGAUAUUGAUUCAGAAAAAGGAGAGAUGGAAGAGAGGAAGACUAAAGAAACGAAAGACAAGACGGGAGAGACAGAAGAAAAAGAUACAGAUACUACAGAGACCGAAGAAGGGAAAGACAAGACUGAAGAGAAAGAUGAGUCGAGAGGAAACAAUGAGAAAGACGACGAAGGAGGAACUAGACCGGAAGACGAUAACGCGAGACAGGGUGAGACAACUGCAGGAGACAACAAGGACUCAACACUCAAAGUAGAUAAUAAUGGAGAAAAGGAAGAUUCGAGAAGUAAGGGAGAGAAAGAAGGCAAAGCAGGAGAUAAAGAAGGUAUAAGUGAAGAUUCCAGCGAAGUAAGGAAGGGUGAUGACGCAAAACCUGGCUACGGUGGAGCAGAAGAGGGUAAGACGGAGUGCGGUAAAUGUGUGACCUUGAUGAUGAUCUUAGAGGUUGUGGGAGGCGUCGUCGAUGGUCUACAAGUGGACAUGAACAAACAGGAGACUCGCCUGGGACGGUUAAUCCAGCGGUACAGCUCACAGUGUGAAAACUGCCUCAAGUACCAGUUUAUGCUGUGGGCCGCCGACAACAGACUAAAUAGUGUUGACAAGUAUACUCACUUGCUGGGGGACAGGAUUGAUGCACUAUCUCGCAGGUGGGCUGUUACAAGCCUCUAUAAUAUACAACACACCAGUUAUAGGCUAGACUGCCUGACUGUACUGCAUAGCUAGUUGCAUGCGGGUGUCAGCUGGGGCCGGAUUCUCCAAGGUUUGAGGGGUUACUGGAUGAGUGAGCACACAACUUUGAUAGAAUCUUGAAUUAGAAACUUCAUUUUCCACUUAUUGGAUACAGUACACGAAAGCGCGUUUAGUUGUGACACUUUUUGCUUCUUAAAUUCUUACAUUUACCCUCAGCUGUAUAGGCAAGACAACAUACUGUGUAACGUUAGCGUCUCUAGACCAAUUUCGAAACCAUUAUGGCCGCCAGCUUUGUAUCAGUGUGUUAGUGAGCCAGACAGAUGCAUCUGUGUCACCAGUUGUGGUAAACUUUAACGCACGAACCUUUGAGUAUUCGGGGCCCAAGUGUUCCAAAAUUGUUGUUAACUUGGAUGGUAGUGAGUUAAGUGACCAGUGCUUCCACGUUUGUUUUUAAAAGUUCUGAGCUGCUAGAGUUGGUGAGAGCUGCGACCCUUGAGAGAGACACACUACGGCAGGAAGUGACUUACCUACGGCGGGUUGCUGCGGCUGCCAUCACCUCUGGA
Molecule: unclassified non-coding RNA, 3664 nt
Filed under: Homarus americanus (American lobster)
Lineage: Eukaryota; Metazoa; Arthropoda; Malacostraca; Decapoda; Nephropidae
Description: myosin-11-like, transcript variant X4
Source: RNAcentral